This 1136-nucleotide long non-coding RNA is filed under the name Physcomitrium patens. Its description in RNAcentral is "long non-coding RNA (PPAT_LNC013973)". Lineage: Eukaryota; Viridiplantae; Streptophyta; Bryopsida; Funariales; Funariaceae. The record is from RNAcentral.
CAUUAUUAGUGAUAGCCUGGUACUUCCAGCGAUUCAUUUGUUGCUUGGUAGACCGUCUACAUGUGAAUGAAAGCAUGGAAAGAAAGCAGAGGUUUGUGUGAGUGUUUCUGUGUGUGCUAUGAAGUAAUGGAAGAGGUGCUGUGUGAGGUUCUGCUUGUAAAGUGAGCUUGGGACACUGAGCGACGUCGACGAUGAAUGGGACUGCCCCGGAAGCAUCGACAGCGGCGUCGAGGAGGCAUCGAUCUCUUGUGAGCUUGGCCUCACUCGAUGUCACAUGCCCAACAUGGAAAACUCAUAAGAUUGAUCAGAACAAGGAUGUGUCGUUGUCGGUGGCGGUAGUGGCUCAGUGCAUAGCUCGGACGCAUCAAUACUUGCCUAUCCAUUGGUUGCCAUCGACGAAAUUCCACGACAAGAAUGGUCGCGCCUGCGCGUCGGUAAGCUCCUUGGACCAGUUCACUCGUCCCUUGGUGUCAGCUCCGACGCCUGUGCACUUGUAUUGCCCGUAAUACACCGUCCUGAAGCAUCGACAGUUUGUAACUUAAGUUUGUUGGAUCGGCAUCCUCUCAAGUCUAGAAAAGUAUGAUACUAGCAAGAUUGGAAAGCUGUAGGGGUAACUCGGAAGUGUGUGUGUUUUUUAGGUGGUGAUGGACAAUCUGGAGAUGGUGGUGAAGUAAGAGAGGGAGUGGAGAUCUUACUUUUCUCUAGCAGGAUCGCCCCAGUUGUACCACCCUGCGGGAAUAAUGGGGGCGGAGAUGUCGGUGUACAGGAGCACGACCCUGGAGUAAGGACCCCAAGCGCGGCCAAUGUAGAUAGGCCCGUUCCCGGUGACGUUGCAACGAACGAAGGAAAACCCGCUAGUCUCCGCUUUCGUCAUCUUCUUCUGGGCGGUCAAGGACCCGCUGCCAGGGUUGGCAAUCGAGUGCAAAUGACAUGUCUGCAUUGGGAUUCAAUCGGUGAGUUUGGAAUUCACUGGAGUUGUUCCUGUUUUCCUGAUGUCCUACUCAGUUGAGCGUUUCGCGGAGUGACUGAAGAGUUGCGAGAGAAUGUAGUUGGCAGGUUUUUACCUCAUAAUACGACUGACCGUUGCCGAAGACGAAGUCGAUGGAGCCCUGGAUGUAGCAAUCUUUGAAGUAAUG